This 455-nucleotide ribosomal RNA is filed under the name Staphylococcus aureus. RNAcentral's name for it is "partial 23S ribosomal RNA". It matches the Rfam family "Bacterial large subunit ribosomal RNA", at positions 1 to 449 of the family's 2925-position model. The record is from RNAcentral. Lineage: Bacteria; Bacillati; Bacillota; Bacilli; Caryophanales; Staphylococcaceae.
GAUUAAGUUAUUAAGGGCGCACGGUGGAUGCCUUGGCACUAGAAGCCGAUGAAGGACGUUACUAACGACGAUAUGCUUUGGGGAGCUGUAAGUAAGCUUUGAUCCAGAGAUUUCCGAAUGGGGAAACCCAGCAUGAGUUAUGUCAUGUUAUCGAUAUGUGAAUACAUAGCAUAUCAGAAGGCACACCCGGAGAACUGAAACAUCUUAGUACCCGGAGGAAGAGAAAGAAAAUUCGAUUCCCUUAGUAGCGGCGAGCGAAACGGGAAGAGCCCAAACCAACAAGCUUGCUUGUUGGGGUUGUAGGACACUCUAUACGGAGUUACAAAGGACGACAUUAGACGAAUCAUCUGGAAAGAUGAAUCAAAGAAGGUAAUAAUCCUGUAGUCGAAAAUGUUGUCUCUCUUGAGUGGAUCCUGAGUACGACGGAGCACGUGAAAUUCCGUCGGAAUCUGGGA